RNAcentral lists this ribosomal RNA (497 nucleotides) under uncultured bacterium. RNAcentral's name for it is "partial 16S ribosomal RNA". It matches the Rfam family "Bacterial small subunit ribosomal RNA", at positions 28 to 507 of the family's 1533-position model. The record is from RNAcentral.
GAUGAACGCUGGCGGCGUGCCUAAUACAUGCAAGUCGAGCGAACAGACGAGGAGCUUGCUCCUCUGACGUUAGCGGCGGACGGGUGAGUAACACGUGGAUAACCUACCUAUAAGACUGGGAUAACUUCGGGAAACCGGAUCUAAUACCGGAUAAUAUAUUGAACCGCAUGGUUCAAUAGUGAAAGACGGUUUUGCUGUCACUUAUAGAUGGAUCCGCGCCGCAUUAGCUAGUUGGUAAGGUAACGGCUUACCAAGGCAACGAUGCGUAGCCGACCUGAGAGGGUGAUCGGCCACACUGGAACUGAGACACGGUCCAGACUCCUACGGGAGGCAGCAGUAGGGAAUCUUCCGCAAUGGGCGAAAGCCUGACGGAGCAACGCCGCGUGAGUGAUGAAGGUCUUCGGAUCGUAAAACUCUGUUAUUAGGGAAGAACAAAUGUGUAAGUAACUAUGCACGUCUUGACGGUACCUACUCAGAAAGCCACGGCUAACUACGUG